This 72-nucleotide transfer RNA is filed under the name Schistosoma mansoni. Lineage: Eukaryota; Metazoa; Platyhelminthes; Trematoda; Strigeidida; Schistosomatidae. The record is from RNAcentral.
ACUCAGUGGCCGAGUGGAUAACGAGAUGGCGUUCAAAGCGAAAGGUAUUGGGUUCGAGUCCCAAAGGGAACA